GCAAACAAAGCUCUCAAGUUGGUGAUCCUCAGGUAAAAUCUAACCUACAGAUAUUGCACCAGUUAUUUAUUGCUACAAAAAUGCUGCCUAAGAAGCCACCCAAAGGGCAGUGGGUUACAACAAUAACUAUACCUUUUUUCUUAGGAGUCUCUGCAUUAGUUGGACAGCUCUUCUGGAAUUAUCUUCUAAGUCAACUGUGGGUUGGGUAGGUGGCUCUGCUGAUUUUUCGCUGGACUUCCACAUUUGGGACGAGUUGGCUGUCAUCAGCUCUAGAAAGGGUGUGGCCGUUUUACAUUGGCUGUUUUCCUCACAUUCCUCAAGCAGGUAAGCUUAAUCAUGUUCUCAUAUUGAAGCAGAAACUGUUUACUCAUUUAUCUAUUUACUUACUGGGUCUCCUGGGCACUAGGUACUGUAAUAAAGAACUGGAGAAAUACAGUCAGAUGGGAAGUAGCCCUUGCUGUCAAGGAGCUUGCCAUCUAAUGGGGGAGACAGGCAAGUAAACCAAAGACUACACAGUGCAGUAUGGUAAGUGCCAUGAUUUUGAUGUGACAGGGCACAGUGGACGACCUUCCAAAUCAAAGCAAGUAACUAGGGGUUGACAAUGGUAAGUAUCAUAGUUGAAGUAUCCUUGAACAAGGUUUCAGGAAGAAGAAGAAGGGAAUUUCAUGCAGGGAAACAGCCAAAGCUCAGUGAGUCAAAAUAUCACAGCAUUCUUGGUAAGCCCAAUUGUUUUUUCUGUUUUGCUAUUUUGGUGGAGAGAAAGGAACACAUAAAGGAAUAACAUGAGAGAAGGCUAUUUGGGGAAGUGUAGUAGUUAAGGUUCUGGCUCAAACAACAACUGCAGCUCAUAAAGUUGACUUUAGUGGAAGGAUACUGGGGUAUCUCAUGGAAUCUUGGGAACUGUUGAAUAACCAGGGAAACUCUGGGAAACUCACUGGUAGGAAUCCAUAAACUGUCCUCCUGGUGGGCUGUAAACAACUCACCCUCUAUGCAUCUCACAUCAAAAUUCCAGUUUCUUGGGAAAACAAGUCUGUUUGCCCAAUUUGGGUCAUAUUUCCACGUCCAUGUUACUCAGGCAUGAUUCAUCUGCAAGUUAUGUGUAUAGAUAUUUUGCUACUGUUCCACCCUUACGCUGUGCUGGGGAGGGAGGUGUCACUGUGAGCUGUGUCGGUGCCUUAAGAGAUAUCUGUUGUGUCUUAUUACUUGGUUGCUUUUCCCCACAUGUACAAUGACAAAAAUGCCUUCAACCUAUUUGAUCCAGCCGUUCCAGUACAACUCCUAUACUUGCCAUCUUUCCAAGCCCAAAGGUACAUCCAGCUGAUGGAAGGAGCAUCUUGGUGUUAAUAUUCUUUUAGUCAUGGUCUCUGAAAGUAAAAUGUCUAUUCUUCUAAUUCUGGCACAAUCUUAUCUAGCUAUAGUUCCUCAUGGUCCUGCACUCCAUGGACUAAAUUGUAAGUAUAAUUACUACCAAUGUACUCUAUAAAUAACUUUUGGGGCCAGGGUGGCAAUAGUUGCUAGAGAGAAAAAAAAAAAAAAGGAAGGAGAAGAAAACAGUGAUAGUUCUUAUUUUAAAAGGAAAAAAAGAGGCAGGAGGCUCUCUUGAGGCCAGGAGUUUAAGACCAGCCUAGGCAGCAUUUCAAGACCCUGUCUCUACUAAAAAGUAAAAAAAAAAUUUAGUCAGGCAUGGUGGCAUGCACCUGUAGUCGUAGCUACUCAGGAGACUGAGGUGGGAGGAUUGAUUGAGCUCAGGAGUUUGAGGCUGCAGUGAGCAAUCAUCAUGCCAUUGCACUCCAGCCUGGGCAUCAGAGCAAGACCUUGUCUUUUAGGAAAAAAAGGCAGGGAAGAGGAAUAGGUAAUUUUUCAGUGUUCAGACAUUCCAGCAAUAUGUGUGGAGUACUCAUUCUCACUACAGUUUAUGAGGCCAUAGCUAGUAUGUAUGACUACCCAUCCAAGUUUCCCUGCUUACAGUUACUAUUCCAACUGAUUGGGGGGCUUUUCCUAAUAGAGUGAUUUAAGCCUUCAUUUUUAGACAUCUAAGCCCUUGGUGAUCAUCAGCAUAAAAUGUGACAAAUUAAACAAAAGCAAGACAGCACAUCAGAGAACAACUCUGAGGUGGAAUGAUUGGGAACCAAUGAAUAGUUGUUCAGUAAAUGGUUUAUAUUUUACAGAUGAUGAAACUGAAACACAAAAAAUUUAGAUUAACUCUUAGGUGACAAAGCCAGGAUUGAAGCUCAUGCGGUCUGGCUCCAGAACAACUCUUCUUCAUAGUUACGUUAUACUGCCCCUGCAUUGUUGGUAUUGAAAAUAACUGAUACCGUGCUUCCAGAAGAUUUUUCUAACAGUGUUUGCAAGCUAUAAAAUAGUGCUUUCACUUAGAAAAGGCUAGACGUGGUGGUUCAUGCCUGUAAUCCCAGCACUUUGAGAGGCCGAGGUGAGUGAAUCACUUGAGAUCAGGAGUCUGAGACCAGCCUGGCCAACAUGGCAAAACCCUGCCUCUACUAAAAAUAUAAAAAUUAGCCAGGCAUGCUGGCACAUGCCUGUAAUCCCAGCUACUUGGGAGGCUGAGGCAGGAGAAUUGCUUGAACCUAGGAGGCGGAGGUUGCAGUGAGCCGAGAUCUUGCCACUGCACUCCAGCCUGGGCAACUCCAUCUCAAAAAAAAAAGAAAGAAAGAAAGAAUUACCAUUCUCAUUCACCUUAAUCCAUAAUAGCUUCAGAGCCCUGACUAAGAGGGCUCUGAGGUCAACCCAAAUCCUCUCCUAGGACUACCAAAUAGUCUCCUUUCUAAGAUAAGAUAUUAUAUUAAUGCUCAUUUAGGCAGUGGCUUUCAGACUUUUGUUGUUUAUUUCCCACAGUAAGAAAUAUAUUUUGCAUCUAUAGCAAGACAGUUCAAACACAUACAGUCACAUUUAUGACUGAAACGAAAGUUCAUGAGACCAUAGUUAUCUUUAUGAUACGCAAUGAUGAGUCAAAGCUUAUAAUUUAGAAAAUACUACAUUAAAGAAUUGUUAGAGGGAGCAUAGGCUGGGCGCGGUGGCUCAUGCCUCUAAUAGACAAAAUCUUUACGAUUCCACAAAUAGCUAGAUGAACAUUAGUUUGGAAACUACUCAACUAUAACUCUCCACCCUCCACAUACACACAAAAAGGAGUGCCCACAUGCAUGAUUAAGCUGCUUGGCUAUGAAUAAAUGACUCAUAUGACUGUUUGUCUAAGUGGUAAAAAGCAAAGCUGAUGUAGGAACAAGUAAGGUAAAAUCAAUUAGGGAAAGGGAACAGCUCCUCCCUAUUGUUCUUUUUUGUUCUCCACCAGCAUAAACACUGCUAUCCAAGUAGCCUCUGCAUUACAGAGGGCUGAAAAUUAAGCCCUGAAUUGGGGAAAGGGACUAGAUGGAUUCGAUGGUUUCUAAGUUACUUUUAAAUCCUAAAACUUUAUUCUCUUAAUAAACAUUUACUGAUUGCUUAAUACGUACCAGGCACCAUGCUGGGAGAUAAGGAUCCAACAUAAGACAAACAGUGCUGAUGCUUUUGGAAAGCUCAUAUUCAAGCUGGGGAGACAAACAACAUACAAGAGGGCUCUGAGAGAUUUCAUUUCUGUCCUGCUGAUGAAGUCUACGUUCAUUCAGGGCCUGCUGUGGAAGACCAGCCCCAAAGUUGCUGAACAGAAGACUUUUGAGAGUCAGCAGAAAUCUUCCACUUUGCAUGGUUCUCUUGAUGUGAAAUCAUCUAUAUAGCCCCAGAAUUGGAAAAGAAAAAAAAUAAAAAAAUGGAAGGAAACUGGAUUCGACAACAGUCUAAUGCUUUCUACUUUUAUUUACUUUUUCUUUAAAAAAAGUAAAUUCUGUUUAUAGUUACAAACAUCUGAUUUCUCAAUGAAUACUAGAGGAAAAAGGGAACAAAGGAAUCCAUAAUCUUCAAUUUACUUAAGAACUUAAUUAACCAAAUGCAAUGGACUCUAUUUGGGUACUGAUUUGAACAAAUAAACUAUAAAGACAUUUUUGAGACAAUUGGGGAAAUGUGAACAAUGAUUGGGUAUUUGAUGAUAUUAAGGAGUCACUGUCAAUUUUUAGGUGUGAUCAUGGUAUUGUGGUUCUGUUCCAAAAAAUAGCCCUUAUCUUUUAGAGCUAUGUUACAGUUUGGCUCCGUAUCCCCAUCCAGGCUUCAUCUUGAAUUGUAAUUCCUGUAUGUCAAAGGAGCAACCUGGUGGGAGGUGAUUGGGUCAUGGGGAUGGUUUCACCCAUGCUGUUCUCAUGAUAGUGAGUUCUCAUGAGAUCUGAUCGUUUAAAAGUGUGACACUUCCCCUCUUGCUCUCUUGUCUCCCACCACCAUGUAAGACAUGACUUGCUUCCCCUUCUGCCAUAAUCAUAAGAAUUGUAAUUUUCCUGAGGCCUCCCAAGCCAUGUGGAACUGUGAGUCAAUUAAACCUCUUUUCUUUAUAAAUUACCCUGCAACUGUCACCAUUCUCCAGACCCCAGAAUGGUAGAUCCAGCGACAGCCCUUGCACCUUCACCUGGAAAAGCCUCAGGCACUCACACCAGCCCUAAGACUGUGUAAUUUAUAAGGAAAAGAGGUUUAAUUGACUCACAGUUUUUAUAGCACUGUGAAAAUGGACUAAUAACAGAAAACUGGUAUCAGAAUAGUGGGGUACUACUAUAAAGAUAACCUGAAAAUGUGGAAGUGACUUUGGAACUGGGUAAUGGGCAGAGGUUAGAACAGUUUGGAGGAAUCAGAAGACAGGAAGAUGUGAGAAAGUUUGGAACUUCCUACAGACUUGUCAAAUGGUUUUGACUAAAAUGCUGAUAGUGAUAUGGACAAUGAAGUGCAAGCUCAGGUGGUCUCAGAUGGAGAUGAGAAACUUAUUGGAAACUAGAGUAUCUUGUAUGUUUUAGCAAAGAGACCAGUGGCAUUUUGCCCCCACCCCAGAGAUCUGUGGAACUUUGAAGUUGAGAGAGAUGAUUUAGGGUCUCUGAGAGAAGAAAUUUUUAAGGAUUCAAGAGGUGAUCUGGCUUUUGUGAAAGUGUACAGUCAUAUGCAUUCACAAAGAGAUGAUCUGAAAUUGGAACUUAUGUUUAAAAGGGAAGCAGAGCAUAAAAGUUAAAAAAAAAUUGCAGCUUGGCCAUGUGGUAGAAAAGAAAAACCCAUUUUAUGGGGAGAAAUUCAAGCUCGCUGCAGAAAUCUUCUUAAGUAAUGAGGAGCUAAAUAUUGCCAAGACAAUGGGGAAAAUGACUCCAGGCCAUUUCAGAGAUCUUCAAGGAAGCCUCUCCCAUCACAAGCCUGGAUAUCUAGGAGGAAAAAAUGGUUUUGUGGGCCAGGCUCAGAGCCCCACUGCUCUGUGCAGCCUCAAGACGGGGUGACCUGUAUUGCUGUUGCUUCAGCUCCACCCAUGGCUAAAAGGGGUCAAGGUACAGCUCAGACCAUUGCUUCAGAGGGUGCAAGCCCCACACCUUGGCAGCUUCCAUGUGGUGUUAAGUCUGCAGGUGCACAGAAGACAAGAGUUGAGCUUUGGGAGGCUCUGCCUAGAUUUCAGAGGAUGUGUGGAAAUGCCUGGAAGUCCAAGCAGAAGUCUGCUGUGGAGGUGGAGCCCUCAUGGAGAACCUCUACUAAGGCAGUACAGAGGAGAAAUGUGAGGUUGGAGCCCCCACACAGAGUCCCCACCGGGGCACUGGGUAGUGGAGCUGUAAGAAGAGGGCCACCAUUCUCUAGACCCCAGAAUGGUAGAUCCACCAACAGCUUGCACCGUGCACUUGGAAAAGCCCCAGGCACUCAACGCCAGCCCAUGAAAACAGCCACAGGGGCUGUACCCUGCAGAACCACAGGGGUGGAGCUGCCCAGAACUUUGGGAGUCCACCCCUUGCAUCAGUGUAGCUUGGAUGUGAGACAUGGAGUCAAAGGAGAUUAUUUUGGAGCUUUAACAUUUAAUGACUGCUCCACUGGGUUUCAGAUUUGCAUGGGCCUUGCAGCCUCUUUGUUUUGGCAAAUUUUUCCCAUUUGGAAGGGGAGCAUUUACCCAAUGCCUGUACCCCCAUUGUAUCUUGGAAGUAACUAACUUGUUUUUUAUUUUAUAGGCUCAUAGAUGGAAGGCUUGUCUCAGAUAAGACUUUGGACUUGGACUUUUGGGUUAAUGCUGGAAUGAGUUAAGACUUUGGGGUUCUGUUGGGAAGGCAUGAUUGUGUUUUGAAAUGUGAGAAGGACAAGAGAUCUGGGAGGGGCCAGGGUUGGAAUGAUAUGGCUUGGCUCUGUGUCCCCACCCGAAUCUCAUCUCAAAUUGUAAUCCUCACAUGUGGAGGAAGGUACCUGGUGGGAGCUGAUUGGAUCAUGGGGGUGGUUCCCCCAAGCUGUUCUCAUGAUAGUAAGUUCAUUCUCAUGAGAUCUGAUGGUUUAAAAGUGUGGCAUUUACACACUCUUUCUCUCCUGCUGCCAUGUAAGACAUGCCUUGCUUUCCCUUAACCUUCUGCCAUGAUUGUAAGUUUCCCGAGGUGUCCCCAGCCAUGUGAAACUGUGAGUUAAUUAAAGCUCUUUUCUUUAUAAAUUACCCAAUCUCAGGUAUUUCUUUAUAGCAGUGUGAAAAUGGACUAAUGGACUAAUGGAAAAUGGACUAAUACAAGAUACUUAUUGAAUAUAGAAUAAUUAUGUCUACAUAAUUAUUUACAGAUGAAAUAAUUAUGUCUAAAA
RNAcentral lists this long non-coding RNA (6666 nucleotides) under Homo sapiens (human). RNAcentral's name for it is "non-protein coding CCDC18-AS1:62". The record is from RNAcentral. Lineage: Eukaryota; Metazoa; Chordata; Mammalia; Primates; Hominidae.